UUGAACGCUGGCGGCAGGCCUAACACAUGCAAGUCGAACGGUAACAGGAAGCAGCUUGCUGCUUCGCUGACGAGUGGCGGACGGGUGAGUAAUGUCUGGGAAGCUGCCUGAUGGAGGGGGAUAACUACUGGAAACGGUAGCUAAUACCGCAUAAUGUCGCAAGACCAAAGAGGGGGACCUUCGGGCCUCUUGCCAUCGGAUGUGCCCAGAUGGGAUUAGCUUGUUGGUGGGGUAACGGCUCACCAAGGCGACGAUCCCUAGCUGGUCUGAGAGGAUGACCAGCCACACUGGAACUGAGACACGGUCCAGACUCCUACGGGAGGCAGCAGUGGGGAAUAUUGCACAAAGGGCGCAAGCCUGAUGCAGCCAUGCCGCGUGUAUGAAGAAGGCCUUCGGGUUGUAAAGUACUUUCAGCGGGGAGGAAGGGAGUAAAGUUAAUACCUUUGCUCAUUGACGUUACCCGCAGAAGAAGCACCGGCUAACUCCGUG
RNAcentral lists this ribosomal RNA (489 nucleotides) under uncultured bacterium. RNAcentral describes it as "partial 16S ribosomal RNA". It matches the Rfam family "Bacterial small subunit ribosomal RNA", at positions 30 to 507 of the family's 1533-position model. The record is from RNAcentral.